GACGAACGCUGGCGGCGUGCUUAACACAUGCAAGUCGAACGGAAAGGCCCUGCUCUUGCGGGGUGCUCGAGUGGCGAACGGGUGAGUAACACGUGAGUAACAUGCCCUUGACUUUGGGAUAACUUCAGGAAACUGGGGCUAAUACCGGAUAGGAGCUCCUGAUGCGUGGUGUGGGAUGGAAAGUUUCGGCGGUUGGGGAUGGACUCGCGGCUUAUCCGCUUGUUGGGGGGGUAGUGGCUUACCAAGGCUUUGAAGGAUAGGCGGCCUGAGAGGGUGACCGGCCACAUUGGGACUGAGAGACGGCCCAGACUCCUACGGGAGGCAGCAGUGGGGAAUAUUGCGCAGUGGGCGGAAGCCUGAUACAGCGACGCCGCGUGCGGGAUGACGGCCUUCUGGUUGUAAACCGCUUUCGCCUGAGACGAGGCGUGAGUGACGGUAAUGGGUAAAGAAGCACCGGCUAACUACGUG
This 468-nucleotide ribosomal RNA is filed under the name uncultured bacterium. Its description in RNAcentral is "partial 16S ribosomal RNA". It matches the Rfam family "Bacterial small subunit ribosomal RNA", at positions 28 to 507 of the family's 1533-position model. The record is from RNAcentral.